RNAcentral lists this ribosomal RNA (363 nucleotides) under Triticum aestivum (bread wheat). Its description in RNAcentral is "partial small subunit ribosomal RNA". Lineage: Eukaryota; Viridiplantae; Streptophyta; Magnoliopsida; Poales; Poaceae. The record is from RNAcentral.
AUGACACUUAAUAAUGAUGCAAAGAUGGUUUUCAUUGAGAAAUAUAUGGAUGCGGCGGAUGAAAAGAGCCGCGAACUCAUUAAAGAAAAGAUGACUCUGUGGGUGAAUAGUUGCGAUGCAAGGAAUGAAGCUGCGAGGAACUCUGCACGGUUAUAUUUUUCUGAUGACUCAGAUAAUGUCAUCGCUGAAACGGAAAAGAAUUUUGCCGAGAUGGAAAAGGCUGAACUUGAUUGUAGAAGUGAUCUAGGUAGGCAAAUCACAAUUUAUGCAACUAUGCUACAAUAUCGUCAGAUGGACUUGAAUAGGCCUGGACAGAUCAUUGACUGGGCAAUCAAUGAAGCUAUGUCCCCGAUACCGACCUAG